RNAcentral lists this unclassified non-coding RNA (858 nucleotides) under Hevea brasiliensis (rubber tree). The record is from RNAcentral. Lineage: Eukaryota; Viridiplantae; Streptophyta; Magnoliopsida; Malpighiales; Euphorbiaceae.
AAACACAAUCCAACCUCAAACAGCCACUUACGAGUUUUCAGAAACUUCUAGAUUUUUCUAGAAUAUUCCAUGGCGGAGGGUAAGAGAUCCACUGGCUCUGUCAGUUGGUUCAGUGCACAGAAAGGUUUCGGCUUCAUUGCUCCGGACGACGGCGGCGAGGAUCUAUUUGUUCACCAGACCUCCAUCCAAUCUGAUGGCUUUAGGACACUGUCCGAGGGCCAGCCCGUCGAGUUCGCCAUCGAUUUUGGAGAGGACGGCCGUACCAAGGCUGUCGAUGUCGUCGGUAUCUUUAGAUCUCGCCGUGCCCCGCGCGGCGCUCGCUACCAGGGUAGUGGGAGAGGAUUCUAUGGCGGGAGGAGGAGAGGAGGUGGUAGUGGUCGAGGCGAUGCUGGUUAUGGGAGAGGUGGCUGGGGUGGCGGGUCAGGCGGUGAUUCUGGAUACAAUACUGGUGGUGGAUAUGGCGGCGGCGGCGGCGGCGGCAGUGGAGCGUGUUAUAAUUGUGGGAGAUAUGGUCAUUUAGCGAGAGAUUGUUAUCAAACCGGUGGCGGCAGUAUAGGAAGUAGGAGAUACGACGGCGGCGGAUACUCCGGUGGAGGAGGAGGAGGGGCAUGUUACAAUUGCGGUGAGGAAGGUCAUUUUGCUAGAGAUUGCCCUAAUACUGAUCAAAACUGAAACAAUGUGGGUGUUUCUCUUAAUGAUGAUGCUCCGUUAAUUAAUUCUUUGUGGAUUGUUGCAUUUUCGAGGUUUGAUGAUUGUUUUUCAGGGGAUUGAAGUAGAAGAGGAAAUGGAGCAGAGCCGCUUCUGCAGCCAUUGCCGCUCUGUUUCUUCUUCAUUGGUUUUUUUUUUUUUUUUUUUUUU